Molecule: non-coding RNA, 28 nt
Filed under: Bombyx mori (domestic silkworm)
Lineage: Eukaryota; Metazoa; Arthropoda; Insecta; Lepidoptera; Bombycidae
Source: RNAcentral
UCUUUUCAUGUUUCAGACAUUUUAGUGC